AGUCGAGGGGAAACGACAUCGAAAGCUUGCUUUUGAUGGGCGUCGACCGGCGCACGGGUGAGUAACGCGUAUCCAACCUGCCCACCACUUGGGGAUAACCUUGCGAAAGUAAGACUAAUACCCAAUGACGUCUCUAGAAGACAUCUGAAAGAGAUUAAAGAUUUAUCGGUGAUGGAUGGGGAUGCGUCUGAUUAGCUUGUUGGCGGGGUAACGGCCCACCAAGGCAACGAUCAGUAGGGGUUCUGAGAGGAAGGUCCCCACAUUGGAACUGAGACACGGUCCAAACUCCUACGGGAGGCAGCAGUGAGGAAUAUUGGUCAAUGGACGAGAGUCUGAACCAGCCAAGUAGCGUGCAGGAUGACGGCCCUAUGGGUUGUAAACUGCUUUUAUAAGGGAAUAAAGUGAGUCUCGUGAGACUUUUUGCAUGUACCUUAUGAAUAAGGACCGGCUAAUUCCGUGCCAGCAGCCGCGGUAAUACGGAAGGUCCGGGCGUUAUCCGGAUUUAUUGGGUUUAAAGGGAGCGUAGGCCGGAGAUUAAGCGUGUUGUGAAAUGUAGACGCUCAACGUCUGCACUGCAGCGCGAACUGGUUUCCUUGAGUACGCACAAAGUGGGCGGAAUUCGUGGUGUAGCGGUGAAAUGCUUAGAUAUCACGAAGAACUCCGAUUGCGAAGGCAGCUCACUGGAGCGCAACUGACGCUGAAGCUCGAAAGUGCGGGUAUCGAACAGGAU
This 730-nucleotide ribosomal RNA is filed under the name uncultured bacterium. RNAcentral's name for it is "bacterial SSU rRNA". It matches the Rfam family "Bacterial small subunit ribosomal RNA", at positions 60 to 778 of the family's 1533-position model. The record is from RNAcentral.